CGCGCAGGCGGUCGUAUAAGUCGAAUGUGAAAGCCCCCGGCUCAACUGGGGAGGGUCAUUCGAUACUGUUCGACUCGAAGGCAGGAGAGGGAAGUGGAAUUCCGGGUGUAGUGGUGAAAUGCGUAGAUAUCCGGAGGAACACCAGUGGCGAAGGCGACUUUCUGGCCUGUUCUUGACGCUGAGGCGCGAAAGCGUAGGGGAAGGCAAACG
This 210-nucleotide ribosomal RNA is filed under the name uncultured bacterium. RNAcentral describes it as "partial 16S ribosomal RNA". It matches the Rfam family "Bacterial small subunit ribosomal RNA", at positions 568 to 774 of the family's 1533-position model. The record is from RNAcentral.